GAUGAACGCUGGCGGCGUGCCUAAUACAUGCAAGUCGAGCGAACGGACGAGAAGCUUGCUUCUCUGAUGUUAGCGGCGGACGGGUGAGUAACACGUGGAUAACCUACCUAUAAGACUGGGAUAACUUCGGGAAACCGGAGCUAAUACCGGAUAAUAUUUUGAACCGCAUGGCUCAAAAGUGAAAGACGGUCUUGCUGUCACUUAUAGAUGGAUCCGCGCUGCAUUAGCUAGUUGGUAAGGUAACGGCUUACCAAGGCAACGAUGCAUAGCCGACCUGAGAGGGUGAUCGGCCACACUGGAACUGAGACACGGUCCAGACUCCUACGGGAGGCAGCAGUAGGGAAUCUUCCGCAAUGGGCGAAAGCCUUACGGAGCAACGCCGCGUGAGUGAUGAAGGUCUUCGGAUCGUAAAACUCUGUUAUUAGGGAAGAACAUAUGUGUAAGUAACUGUGCACAUCUUGACGGUACCUAAUCAGAAAGCCACGGCUAACUACGUG
This 497-nucleotide ribosomal RNA is filed under the name uncultured bacterium. Its description in RNAcentral is "partial 16S ribosomal RNA". It matches the Rfam family "Bacterial small subunit ribosomal RNA", at positions 28 to 507 of the family's 1533-position model. The record is from RNAcentral.